UAGUUGUAAUUGUACAAUAAUAUAUUUCGAGCCGAUUCGCCGAAAUUUUAACCACCGCAUUUAGAGAAGGUCACUCGGAAAAUCUAUAUUAGAAUGUGGCGUUAAAGUAUACCCAUUUAUGUUUGGAGAUGUCUAUAUUUCGGUACCCCGUACAACAUAAUACAUUAUGUUGCUAACGAACACCCUUCCCCCAUAAUAAUUUCGAUUCAAAGUCCAUUCAGCCGGAAGUAUUUCGCGUUACCGUGUAUACAAUAAUAUUUCAUUAAGCGAAACGCGGUGUAUAACCUAUACACUUGAGGCGCAGUCGUCUCUGUUGAAAAUAUUAUUAUAGGUGAAGGUGAACAAUACGCGUAAAUCAGGAGGAAUCUAUAGAUGCUCCGCACAACGCAGCAACAAUAAAUCGAAAACCAUUUCAAACGGUUAACACAAUAUCUACCUAUGUUUUAUCAGUUAUAGUUUCUCGAAAAAAUAACAUCGUGCGAGCAAAUCGCGAGAGAAAUCGAUUCG
This is a non-coding RNA of Cinara cedri, 507 nucleotides long. Lineage: Eukaryota; Metazoa; Arthropoda; Insecta; Hemiptera; Aphididae. The record is from the annotation of a GenBank genome assembly.